AGGUGCCAUUUGUCUCGGUUAAAGACAGAUCCAGAGAAAAUGUUUUUCUACUACACCCAAAAAGUGACUGCCUGCACAGAAUCUGGUCAGUACUGGACACAGCAUAACAGUGACACAAGCACACACAUAUACAGACACAGCACCCCUCUCUCACACAUACACACACAUUCAUUCAUUCAUUCAACAUCAGAUUUCAGUGAAUUGAAAUGUGUACUGUAAAAUUUAGUCACAAAAUAUCCGAUUUGGAAAAAUUCUCCAACUUCGAUAAACUUGCGACUUGGUUCUGUAAUUUGGUUUUCCAUUCUCUAGAAUUUGGUGUUUGGUUAAUAAAUAAAAAAUAUGUAACAAUGCAUUCUGAACAUAUACUUCUCUUAGAAACAUAUAAGAUAUUCUAUAUUUGCAGACGUGACCUUGCAUUGUUUGGGGCUAGAGUGGGAACUUCAUCGCAUAUACAUGAAAAAAUCUGCCACAUUAACAGAACUGCUCAGAGAGGCUAUGCUCUACAAAGAAGAAGAUUUCACCCAGGAUCUCCAUAAUCCAAACAAUGCAGGUAAAUAUAUAAGUAACAAAUCUCUAUUUCAACUAGAUGGAUUUAACUAAUUGUACGGGAAUUUUCACUAAAAUGUGAAUUGUCUGGGAUUCAAAGUGAAUUUCAAAUUUCACAUGUAUUGAUCAUCAGGGCCGUCUUUAGCGCGGGGCAAACGGGGCAGCUGGCCUGGGCCCAGUUGCUCCUGAGGGGUCCCAGAGCAGCUGCCCCGUGGGCCCAGCGAUUUGCACAGCCACCAUGGACCAAGCGAUGCGGCUGCACAGCGCCGCACCGGCCCGCCCACUAAGGAGGCACCCUGGGUGGUCCAUGCACUAAGGGCCACCCGGUUGGCAUGUGUCAGCAGGAACACGGUCAGGCGUUGUGACGCUUAAACAGCGCGACCGGGCCCCUUCCUGUUUGGCAGCCGGCUGGGAGGAAGUGAGUGCCGCGCGUCACUUCCUCCCACCGAGAUCAGAGCCUUGCGGGAGGAGGAAGGCAGGGAGGAGGAGAGUUCCAUAGGAUAACUCCCAACUGCCUCAGCCUGCCACUGGACCCCAGGGAAACCACCCUCCAGAAAAAGGUAAGAACCUGGAGGGUGGCUAAAUGUAUGUCAGUAUGUCUGUGUGUGUGUGUAUGUCAAUAUGUCUCGGACCAGGAUUGCAGGGUCGCGGCUACAAAGACUAUUACACACGAACAUACUUGACUUUGGGUGAGAUGCUAACAGACUCAGGGGUUAAACCAUUUUCAUCUAUUAAACAUACAAACACUCCCAUGGUCAUGGAAAAAUUUAAUUAUGACCAACUUACACAUUUUAUAUGCUCGGUCUAUUCACGAGCAGAGAACAUACGUGAUCUCACUGCAUUCUAAUCCCUUUGCACCACGCACAACCUACUCAAAAGCCAGCUUUCUCACUUCUAUCAUAUGCUCCUAGGCACGAACCAGAGGGAGCUGAUCUCCUUCACCACGAAAUGGGCCCAAGACCUACAAAUUAUCCUGACUUCUGCUGAUUGGAAAAAAAUAUUUUUAUUCGCACAUAGAUCUUCUAUGAAUGUAUCCACACAGGAGAGCAACUAUAAAUGAAUCUCUCAUUGGCACUACUCCCCCUCUACCCUUAACCGCAUGUUCCCCAACUCUAUAGAUACAUGCUGCAGAUGCCAUCAGCCAAACUGUGAUACCUCGCACAUAUGGUGGCAAUGCCCUGAAGUACACAAAUUUUGGAAACGAAUCACAACCUCCAUUAGGGCCAUAACUGGUACACCCCUUCCACUGGAAUCGUCCACACUCAUUCUAUACCUCUUCCCUCUCUCCCUCCCUACAUUUAAGACCGCCUUGACCAGACACCUCCUAACGGCUGCAAACCAGCUAAUUCCGUUGUUCUGGAAGCAAGCUAAGCUACCUACAAUUAGGGACUGGUAAUCCAUUAGAAUCAUGGAAAAGUUCUGUGCUACUCCCACAGUCAGGGAUACCAUAAGUAUACAGGUACAUGGGCACUUGUCACACCCACCUGGAGAUUCGUGAAGCUGAUGGAACCCACUUGCAGAUGAACAGCACUCCAAAAAAAAGUAAACGAAAAUUGCAGUCAGGCAGCAGGCAGAAGUAGUCGAUCAAUCUGGAUUUAAGUCAAGAAGCAGGCGGGAGCAAUCAUCAAAGGAAUCAAGGAUCAGGAACCAGGAACAUAAGCUGGAAAUUAGGGCAAUAGGCAGGUAUAAAGCAAUAAGCAAAAUAACCAAGCACUGACUGGAAGGUGUGGUGGGUUUAAAUAUUCCAUGCUACAUUUCUUUAUAGGCUCGAGCAGCAAGGUUUACUCUCUGUUACAUUAAUCUGCUCCGAUUGUUCUAUAGUUACUUCAUGCUGGUUUCAGGCGACUAUUUAAGUUAUUUCUAAACGUUGAAUGACAUAAUCUAUCUUACGUAUACACCUUAUAAUAUGCAGGCAAAAGUAUUCACAGCUACUGCACUGAUGCGUACAUUGGUUUGGUUUACUCUCUCCCAUUAGUAAUGCCUAGGGGCUUAACAUGCCUCAAUACUCGUUGUCUUGCUUGAUAUGUUACCCAAUGUACUGCACCGAUUGUAUGAAAAACCGAUCUUGAUCUAGGACACUCCAAGCCUACAUGUAUGUCAUAAUUUUAUUAUGCGUCUUGUAUGAGAUUGAUUUAUAACUGUCUGUAUUCUUACAUUCAAUCUUAAUAAAACAAAAAGACAAAAACAAAAAAAAGAAUAUAAAAGGCUUGAAAAGAAAAAAAAAGAAAGUGGAAAGAGGAGACAAUAGGCGUUCUGGUCGUUAGGACAAAGGGAAGGUGAUUGUAAAGACCCCUCGGGGGAGUAGAGGUCCAUUCAAGACACUCAAACACAUAUUGCGGGGAACAGCGCAGGGAGGAGAGGAGCCCCACCCAUACCUCUCGUGUUUCCAGACCCUUUUUCAACCCUGUCUGGAAAAUGCACUUCUGGAAAUAAGAUAAGGAAACCGUUAUUUAAAAAAUAAUAAUUUUUAAAAAUUGGAUUUUUUUUGCCUUUUAGUUUUUCUUUAACAUUUCCAUUAAUACAGUUUAUAGUUUGUUUACUAAACAGGGCAUUGAGGAGAAUUCAUAAGAGAAUUACAAAUUAGCCCAAAACUGUAAAAAUGCUCUUACCAUAUGUUUCCAUCUCUGCUGAUUCCAACCUGUGAUUUGCAAUUCUAUUCAAUGCUUCAUAUAGUGAAUAAAACCCAGUGUAAUUCAAUGUCAUGCCCACAUUCUUUUUUGACAGAUUUGCUUUCAACUACCAGAGUUGUGCUUAGCAUUUUAGAUAUUGGUUACCUUGCAGCUAUCUUCAAAAGCCGUUCAUAUUGAAUAUUGUUAAUGGCAACCAAACACCACGCUUGAGGCAACCAUUUAAUAUAGUUUUUAAUAAUCUAUCUUGGCAACCCAGCUCUGUUAUUAGUAUUGUUCCCCUUUACACUAGGAGGGGCCUUGGUCCUUUUAUUUAAAGUUUUCAUUACUACAGGGAGUGCAGAAUUAUUAGGCAAGUUGUAUUUUUGAGGAUUAAUUUUAUUAUUGAACAACAACCAUGUUCUCAAUGAACCCAAAAACUCAUUAAUAUCAAAGCUGAAUAUUUUUGGAAGUAGUUUUUAGUUUGUUUUUAGUUAUAGCUAUGUUAGGGGAUAUCUGUGUGUGCAGGUGACUAUUACUGUGCAUAAUUAUUAGGCAACUUAACAAAAAACAAAUAUAUACCCAUUUCAAUUAUUUAUUAUUACCAGUGAAACCAAUAUAACAUCUCAACAUUCACAAAUAUACAUUUCUGACAUUCAAAAACAAAACAAAAACAAAUCAGUGACCAAUAUAGCCACCUUUCUUUGCAAGGACACUCAAAAGCCUGCCAUCCAUGGAUUCUGUUAGUGUUUUGAUCUGUUCACCAUCAACAUUGCGUGCAGCAGCAACCACAGCCUCCCAGACACUGUUCAGAGAGGUGUACUGUUUUCCCUCCUUGUAAAUCUCACAUUUGAUGAUGGACCACAGGUUCUCAAUGGGGUUCAGAUCAGGUGAACAAGGAGGCCAUGUCAUUAGAUUUUCUUCUUUUAUACCCUUUCUUGCCAGCCACGCUGUGGAGUACUUGGACGCGUGUGAUGGAGCAUUGUCCUGCAUGAAAAUCAUGUUUUUCUUGAAGGAUGCAGACUUCUUCCUGUACCACUGCUUGAAGAAGGUGUCUUCCAGGAACUGGCAGUAGGACUGGGAGUUGAGCUUGACUCCAUCCUCAACCCGAAAAGGCCCCACAAGCUCAUCUUUGAUGAUACCAGCCCAAACCAGUACUCCACCUCCACCUUGCUGGCGUCUGAGUCGGACUGGAGCUCUCUGCCCUUUACCAAUCCAGCCACGGGCCCAUCCAUCUGGCCCAUCAAGACUCACUCUCAUUUCAUCAGUCCAUAAAACCUUAGAAAAAUCAGUCUUGAGAUAUUUCUUGGCCCAGUCUUGACGUUUCAGCUUGUGUGUCUUGUUCAGUGGUGGUCGUCUUUCAGCCUUUCUUACCUUGGCCAUGUCUCUGAGUAUUGCACACCUUGUGCUUUUGGGCACUCCAGUGAUGUUGCAGCUCUGAAAUAUGGCCAAACUGGUGGCAAGUGGCAUCGUGGCAGCUGCACGCUUGACUUUUCUCAGUUCAUGGGCAGUUAUUUUGCGCCUUGGUUUUUCCACACGCUUCUUGCGACCCUGUUGACUAUUUUGAAUGAAACGCUUGAUUGUUCGAUGAUCACGCUUCAGAAGCUUUGCAAUUUUAAGAGUGCUGCAUCCCUCUGCAAGAUAUCUCACUAUUUUUGACUUUUCUGAGCCUGUCAAGUCCUUCUUUUGACCCAUUUUGCCAAAGGAAAGGAAGUUGCCUAAUAAUUAUGCACACCUGAUAUAGGGUGUUGAUGUCAUUAGACCACACCCCUUCUCAUUACAGAGAUGCACAUCACCUAAUAUGCUUAAUUGGUAGUAGGCUUUCGAGCCUAUACAGCUUGGAGUAAGACAACAUGCAUAAAGAGGAUGAUGUGGUCAAAAUACUCAUUUGCCUAAUAAUUCUGCACUCCCUGUACAAUGCAUGUUAAUAACACGUACACCGAUCAGCAACAACAUCAAAACCACUGACAGGUGAAGUGAAUAACAAUGAUUCUAUCGUUACAAUGCCAUCUGUCAAGGCAUGUGAUAUAUUAGGCAGCAAGUGAACAGUCACCUCUUGAAUUUCAUGAGUUGGAAGCAGCAAAAAUGGGUAAGCGAAAAGAUCUGACUAACUUUAACAAGGGCCAAAACGUGAUGGCUAGAUGGCUGGGUCAGAGCAGGGCCGGGGGGAGCAAGAUUCAAAUGGAAGGAGGGAAGUGCACUGCGCUCCUUCCUGCUAGUCAUUCAGUAGUGCCAUCUCCCAUCCCUUAGUGCCAUCUCCCAUCCAUUCCCUGUUGUGUCUCCUACCUCUUUGUAGCGUGGCCGAGCAGCGCGGACUGUGGUACAGGAGCUAUCUGUACCCGUCCAAACUGAAAGGAAGUGCUCUCUCAGUAAGGAAACAGAAGCUCCUGUACCGCGGUCUGCACCGCCGGGCCACGCUACAAAGAGGUAGGAGACACAACAGGGAAGGGAUGGGAGAUGGCACUAAGGGACACUGGGGGGGAGGAGAGACCACUAAGGGACACUGGGGUGGGGGAGGAGACUCAGGAGAGAGCACUAAGGGACACUGGGGAGGGAGGAGAGACCACUAAAGGACACUUGGUGUUGGGGGAGGAGAGACCACUAAGGGACACUGGAAGGGAGGAGAGACCACUAAGGGAAAGAUGGGGGGAGUAGAGGCCACUGAGGGAAAGGUGGGGGGAGUAGGAGAGACCACUAAGGGAAAUGUGGGGGGGAGGAGAGACCACUAAGGGACACGGGGGAGGAGAGACCACUAAGGGACACUGUGCGGGGGGGACAGACCACUAAGGGACACUGAGGGGGAGGAGAGACAACUAAGGGACACGGGGGGGGAGAGACCACUAAAGGACACUGGGGGUGAGCUUCCUGUACCCAUCCGAACUGAAAGGAAGUGAUCUCUAAGUAAGGAAACAGAAGCUCCUGUACUGUGGUGUGCACCGCCGGGCCACGCUACAAAGAGGUAGGAGACACAACAGGGAAGGGAUGGGAGAUGGCACUAAUGGACACUGGGGGGGGGGAGGAGAGACCACUAAGGCACACUGAGGUGGGGGAGGAGAGACCACUAAGGGACACUGAGGAGGGAGGAGAGACCACUAAGGGACACUGGGGCUUGGGGGAGUAAGACACACAAAGUGGUUGGGAGGAUGUAGGAUCCAUACAAAGUGGGGGGGGCGGGGGUAAGAGACACACAAGGGGCUUGUAAGAGAUACACUAAAGGGGAGUGUAAGGCACAAAACUUAAAUAAAAUAAAUGCAAAAAAAAUAAUACUAACAAAUAAAUAUAAUAAUAAAAAUAAAGAGCUGCUCCUCUCUCAGCCCCUAUCUCUCUUUCACACUACACACAUAGACAAUGCAUCCUUACACAUACACAGAAACACACAUGCACAGAAUGCAUCCACAGACACACUGAAACAUACAAUGCAUCCUACACUCACACUCACACAGAAACACAGCAUGCUUCCCACAAAGAAAACACACAAUGCAUCCCUUACACACAAUUCAGCCCUUGCACACAUACACAAAAGCACACAAUGCAUCCCUUACAUACACACACACACUGCUUCUCUUAAUGCAUAUUUUACACACACUCAAUGCACCCCUUACAGGCACACACUGCAUUACAUUACAUACAUAGAAACAAACCUUUCAUCCCUUACACAUACAAACACAGAUUCACACAAUGCACCCCUUACACAUACACAGACACACACUGCAUCCCCUAUACACACCGACUACAUCCAUUACACAAACUGGUAUCCCUAUACAUUCCAUUCCAUAAGAACACACAUAUUACAUCCUCUAUAAUAACACAUAACGCAUCCCCUACACACAUACACUCCACUCCCUGUGAGCGAACUCAUGGGUGGACCUUGUAGGCAUCAGGCUUAUGGGUGGGCCUUGUAGGCAUACUCACGGUCAGGCCCUGGGUGCCCAGACCGUGAUCUAUGUAAGGGGCCCCCAAAAAUGGAGCUGCUUCCUGUUCGUUGUUAUUGUGAACACUGCCUCCAGAGAGCCUGUUUUAACACCAGACCAGUGGAGUCAGACUGCAGCCUGAGCCCAUCAUCAUCCUCUUGUCCUCAUCUGUUGGUAAGUUGGCAAUCCAGUAUAUUACUAGUGGCACUAAUCCCUAAUUUACCUCAAAUUAAAGGGACAAUAUAGUCACCAGAACCCUCUACAGCUUAAUGUAGUUGUGCUGGUGUCUAUAGCCUGUCUCUGCAGGCUUUUUAAUGUAAACACACUGCCUUUUAAGAAAAAAGACACUGUGUGCAGCACUGGCGUUGGCCCUUAUGGCAGAUCAUAUGGGUGGGACAAUGUGAUGGGGGAGGGGGGAGCAAAUUUUUGUUUGCCUAGGGCGGCAAAAAUCUUUGCACCAGCCCUGGGUCAGAGCAUCUCCAAAACGACAAGACUACCAAAAGUGGUGCAAGGAAGGACAACUGGUGACUCGGCAUCAAGGCUCAUUGAUGCACGUGGGGAGCGAAUGCUAGCCCGUCUGGUCUGAUCACACAGAAUAGCUACUGUAGCUCAAAUUGCUAAAAAGAAAUGCUGGCCAUGAUAGAAAGGGGUCAGAACAUACAGUGUAAGCAGUUUGCUGCAUUUGGGUUAGCAUAGCCACAAACCGGUCAGAGUGCCAUGAUGACCACUGUCCACGACUGAAAGCGCUUUCAAUGGGGGCUUGAGCCUCAGGAAGGCUAGACGUCGAAAUGUUGGAGUUGUAUUAUCGCCUGCUUUAGGUCAGUGUGCCUGCAUUGUUAGGGGCUUAUGGGUUUCAAAUUUGAGGACUUACUAUUGUGUAUAAAUUGGUUAUGGGUAUGUUAUCAAUUGUUUACAUGCCUGAACUGUUUUUUGCACGUUCUUUGUAUAACUUGUAUUAAUCCACUGUAUGAAUAAAAAUCUUUUUAUGCGCAAAUUUACUCUGGUGUGCUUUGGUUUAUUUUCUACUCUGACUGUGCUUCGUUUACCUGGGGAAGAGAUGGCAGAAGGAUGCCCUGUUGGAAGAAAGCAAAUUUCAAGAGAACAAAUUCAGAGGGCAAAUCAGAUGGAUAAUGCAAUUAAAAAGCAAUUACAAAAAAUAAUUAAAAUAAAAUAUUACAUACAUUAUAAUCAAUCUGUGAAUAUAUCUUUGGAAUUCAUAUUCAACCAAAUACAAUAUAAGUGUUAAGACCUGCAGUGGUUAUGGUACUGUGGUCUUCUAUUCCUUCCACAUUAGCUGAGCAUAAGUGAUUAUAACUGCAGUAGGAGGUAGAGGAAUAGUGUAGAUGAAUGCAGCUUCCAAGAUGAUUCUCCCCAGCAAAUAGAAUAUUCCCCAAACAUGAGCCUAGACUUCAUGAAGGGUGUCACAGGAAUGAUGUUUAUUGAUGACACACUGGCUUUUAUGAGAAAUCCUCCUGCAAGAGGACCUCCGACAGUAAACAAAGACAAUAACCCAUCAACAUACAGCUAUACAGUAACCCCCGCCCUCUCUCUGCCUGAGAGAUAUUGAGAUAAGUUAAGGAAUAACCCAAUUAUCUCCAGGCAGAGGGCACACAAUUUUCCCAAAAGUUAGAACACCCCUUUCCACACAAGGUAUCCCCCCGAUUUGGGGGACCAACAUAUCCAAAUUUCACCCAGAUCGGUUCAGGGGUUCUUAAAAAGUAUGGAAGUCACAAGUUACCGACCACACACGAGACUCCUGCCCAAAACAGUUCCACGAAUUCAGCGUGUGCGGUCGGUCAAUUCAGAAAAAGGCAUAAAACGAAUAGAAGUCCCGAAUGGAUCCUCCUGGCUCAUAGGAGCGAUUGCUCCUCUUGUCUGUAUGAACAAAACUAUCGAAUGGCACUCUCCUGGCUGUUCGGCAACUAAAGGAAGCAGGCGUUCGGUAGUUUCAGCAUUGGUUCGGGAGGUCGCAUGUCCGAUUUUAGUUCCAGACACUCAACGACCAAGUCCCGCUUCCUCCUUUCGUGCAAACAAGAUGGCCGCCGUUUUCUGUUCCACGUGGCAUUCGGCUAUACGAACAACGGCCGCCCAGAGAGCGCUUAACCCCUUAAGGACCAAACUUCUGGAAUAAAAGGGAAUCAUGACAUGUCACACAUGUCAUGUGUCCUUAAGGGGUUAAUAGAUGGUUCUUUUGAAGUUAAUGAACCAAUAGAUUCAACAUGUACAAAAUACUGCAGAAAAAGCCAAAGCAUAGGAGAAAAUACCAAACUAAGUCUAUUUUCUUCACAAUAAGUAAUUAAGAGAUAGUGCUCGCUCAUUUAGCUUAUGUCACACAACUCCUCUAGGCAUCCUAAUAUGCGCUCUGAGCUGUUUCAGUCCUUUAAAUUGUACGUGAUCUUGCAUAUGAGUUCUGCUUAUUGACCAAAUAGGACUUAAAGGGACACUGUAGACACUGUAACCAUUUUAUCUCAUUGAAUUAGUUAUAGUACCUGGAGUCAUCUGACACACUCCCACCAUUCAGUGUUAAACCAUUCAGUGUUAAACCAUUUCAGAGAAAGUUAACACUAAAUGAGGGGCCCUGCCCACCCACCGCCUGACCACUCCAUACACCUGGAGGUAUGCUAAGACGGAGAUUACACACUUCCUUGUACCCACACCAAUACAUACCAGCAAUGGGCACUGUGGUAGGGUGAAUGAGGUCAACUGGCACUCUCAGCCAAUCACAGCUGCCUCAUUAGCCCAAGCUGCACAUAGGGGUUGGGUUGCUGGGGACUCUUGUUUAGCAUUAAAAUAUAAAAAAACGGUUCAAUCUGCUGUGCUUGCUAUUUGUGGAUAGCAGAAGGACAGCCUGUGAGAGGUAUUUUCUGCUCUUCCUUGUCAGUUAGAGUCUAUGCCAAAGAUAUGACUAACAGGUGGGAGAAAGACCUAUUUUUUAAAGUAGAUGUUACCUCUGACACUAAAACGUUUGUGCACACUAUCUACAUGCUGUGUUAGACCAUCUUGAUUUAGCUUUACAUACAUACUACAUUGGUUAGUUUAAACUCUUCCUUUGUAUGUCCCUUCCCCAUGCAGUGCUUGGCUAUCUUAUCUGGUAAGUGUUGUACCAGCAUGAGACAUAUAUGGUAAUUAUGUGACGAUUCCAAUCUGCCGGGUCACCAGUCGCAGUGUUCUGUGCUUUAAUCACAGGUAUCUCCAUUCUGCCAUGUUCCCCCCCAAUUUUGUGUUACCAUUUUUACUGACCCUAAAUUUUACUAAUGACUCCAAUAUCUCUGUAAGUAUAAUUGAUAUAUAUACUGUUUGAUAUCCCCAUUCUAUAAUGGUAAAGUGCUGUGGUAAAUGCUAAUAACAAUAUUAAUGGCGAUAUUAAUGAGGCAAUGACCUUGUCAUUUUAGUUUAACCCAGUAGAACCCCCUAUAUUGCCUGUGUAGGUAGCAAUACUCUUUCCUUAUCAUUAUGACUGUCCUCAGAAUGACUGGUUCUGCUGGUUUAGUAAAAGUUACUGUUCUUAGAAUAUCAUUUGACUGUAAGACAAAUAAACAGUUGGGACCUUUUAAGGCGAUCAAUGUUUGGAAAUUCAUUGACUGUGCUUAGAGUGUUAGCCUCUUCUAAUUAACCACAGGUCUUCAUGCACUCCCCCAAUGUCCACCUUCCCAUCAUUAUUGAUUAUUAUAAUUUAAAGGGAUACUCUAAACAUCAUAACAACUAUUACUCACUAUGGUUACAGUGAAAGAAAUCUUGAGCUGCUGUACCACCAUCUAUUGUCAAACAAAUUUUUAGUAGUUUGACAAAAAUGAGGCUCUCCUAGCAUGCAAAGCAUGUUCCCUCACCUCAUUGCUCAGUUAAAACAUCUUCAUUUAAUGCUUCUUUUAAACCCCCUCUUUGAUUUCUUACCCCCUUUUGUGUUCCCUACACCCUACUUUUAAAUGUAUUGCCACCUUUACUGAAUCUUAUUCCCUUUGUGUGUCUUACAUACCCGUUGAGUGUCUUUUACACUCUUCAGAAGGAUAUUGAUACCUUAGAGAGGGUUCAGAGAAGGGCUACUAAACUGGUUCAUGGAUUGCGGGAUAAAACUUACCAGGAAAGGUUAAAGGAUCUUAACAUGUAUAGCUUGGAGGAAAGACGAGACAGGGGGGAUAUGAUAGAAACAUUUAAAUAUAUAAUGGGAAUCAACACAGUAAAGGAGGAGACUAUAUUUAAAAGAAGAAAAACUACCACAACAAGAGGACAUGGUCUUAAAUUAGAGGGACAAAGGUUUAAAAAUAAUAUCAGGAAGUAUUACUUUACUGAGAGGGUAGUGGAUGCAUGGAAUAGCCUUCCAGCUGAAGUGGUAGAGGUUAACACAGUAAAGGAGUUUAAGCAUGCGUGGGAUAGGCAUAAGGCUAUCCUAACUAUAAGAUAAGACUAGGGACUAAUGAAAGUAUUUAGAAAAUUGGGCAGACUAGAUGGGCCGAAUGGUUCUUAUCUGCCGUCACAUUCUAUGUUUCUAUGUUUUACAACCCCUCUUGUGUGCCUUUUUCUUCCAUCUAGUCCCUUUGUGUGCCUUUCACCCCCAGCCCCUUUGUGUGCCACUAUAUCCCCAUAGCCCCUUUGUGUGUCUCUUACCAACCAGCCCUUCAGUGUUUCUAUUUAUCCCCCUAGCCUAUGUGUGUGUCUCUUUCUCCUCCCCAGCCACUUUGUCUGUCUCCUACUUCCCCCCAGCCCUUCGGUAUGUCUCUUUCUCCCCCCCCCAGAUCCUCUGCGUGUCUCUCCUUCAACCCCUCUCUUUGCCCCAUCCCCUUUCUGUGUCUCUUUCUCCCCCUAGCCCCUCUGGGGGUCUUUUCCCCCAGCUCCUAUGUGUGUCUCUUUUCCCCUUCCCCAGCCCCUUUUAUGUAUCUCUUUCUCUACAUCCCCUGUGUAUUUUUCCCCAUCCCUUCUGGGUGUGUCUCCCCUCCCCAGUUCCAAGCUUGGAAUUACAUACAUGUGAUAUUUUUUUUACUAUUGUGUGUAUAUGCAUUUUUUCUUUUUCCCCAGCUUGCAAAGACAUGCAAUCUUCUGGACUGAUUUCCGGGACAGAUACCUCCCAUACCUCACAUUCACAAAGCCACAGCAGCACUACAGAGAGGAAAACAGGCAAUCUAAACAUCAGUCUUGAC
This 12195-nucleotide long non-coding RNA is filed under the name Pelobates cultripes (western spadefoot toad). The record is from RNAcentral. Lineage: Eukaryota; Metazoa; Chordata; Amphibia; Anura; Pelobatidae.